RNAcentral lists this ribosomal RNA (502 nucleotides) under uncultured bacterium. RNAcentral describes it as "partial 16S ribosomal RNA". It matches the Rfam family "Bacterial small subunit ribosomal RNA", at positions 28 to 523 of the family's 1533-position model. The record is from RNAcentral.
GUUGAACGCUGGCGGCAGGCUUAACACAUGCAAGUCGAGCGGAGUGAUGGUGCUUGCACUAUCACUUAGCGGCGGACGGGUGAGUAAUGCUUAGGAAUCUGCCUAUUAGUGGGGACAACAUCUCGAAAGGGAUGCUAAUACCGCAUACGUCCUACGGGAGAAAGCAGGGGAUCACUUGUGACCUUGCGCUAAUAGAUGAGCCUAAGUCGGAUUAGCUAGUUGGUGGGGUAAAGGCCUACCAAGGCGACGAUCUGUAGCGGGUCUGAGAGGAUGAUCCGCCACACUGGGACUGAGACACGGCCCAGACUCCUACGGGAGGCAGCAGUGGGGAAUAUUGGACAAUGGGGGGAACCCUGAUCCAGCCAUGCCGCGUGUGUGAAGAAGGCCUUAUGGUUGUAAAGCACUUUAAGCGAGGAGGAGGCUCUUUUGGUUAAUACCCAAGAUGAGUGGACGUUACUCGCAGAAUAAGCACCGGCUAACUCUGUGCCAGCCGCCGCGGUAA